Lepidothrix coronata (blue-crowned manakin) is the source of this 1191-nucleotide long non-coding RNA. RefSeq lists it as uncharacterized. The transcript has 4 exons. Lineage: Eukaryota; Metazoa; Chordata; Aves; Passeriformes; Pipridae. The record is from RefSeq and is a predicted model, not a curated record.
UCCUAUGAGGGAAAUGCUGAUACUUGCGGAAUCUGGUGGUUCUCUAACUUGGGCCUUAUAAGAGGAGCAGCAUGCCUGUGUCCUGGGUGGUAAAUGCAAGCUGGACCAGCUCCCACAGAAGGACAGUGGUAGGAAAGCAGAGACAGGAUGACAAAAAGAGCAUCUUUCAUCUAAGUUAAAAAUACUUCAGUGCCUAUACAUGUUCACCCUACAGCCUUAAAUUUCUCAGGAGGUUAAGGACACUGCAAGUAUAACUGUACUCUGUCAACAUACUGUUGUACACCUAUCAAAAACUUACAUCUUUGGUAAGUUUGCUGAAAAUGUUUACUAUGUCCAAUUGCUGUAUUUUGUGUAUCACAUACUUUACUACUGAUAUGCAAAGUAGUAUUUGCCAAUGCUGAUAUGCAUGUUUCAUGUGUUUUAGAAUACCUGUAGUAUUUGCUGGGGCCCACAACAAACUUGAGAUUGCAACCUGCAUCAGCUAUCACACUACUAGUAGAUAUCACAAAAUGAUAAUUCUAAGCAUUUAAGUUCACAUGCUUCUAAUUGUCUUUAAAAAAAAUGCCAGCAGCAAGCUGGGAUAUUUUACUCUGACAAUCUGGACAGUAGCAUUCUCUUCAGCAGAAGUCUUACAAGCUGACAUCCCAAUGAUUUAUGUAAAAUACUGAAUGGAAAGACUUCAUGGCAAAAGGGCUCUGCACUUAAGCUUUACUCCUUCACCAUUCCAGCCAUCCAAAGCUUUGCCAAAGGGUUCAGUGAUGCUGAGCUCAUUGUGGGGUUUCACAUCAGCACCACUGCAGCAGUCACUAGAACGCGCUGUGCCACAUUCAGAGCAGUCCUGCUAAUACUUCUUUCUCAAAGAAAACUGCAUGGCAUGAUUUCAGGAGUGUUCCGUAGCAUUAUCCAUUACAGUCUCCCCAGCAGCAUUAUUCCCUUUCAGUGCUAUUCACACAACCCUUUUGUGUAGUUUCCUGUUGCAGGUCUGCAGUCUCUCAUCUGCAUCUUAUCCUUACUGGAAAAGGGUAUCUGGCCACAGACUCUAAGAGACUGGACACCUCAACAUUUGCAAGACUAGGGAUUUUGACAUUUUUCUCCCUUUGUUACUUUACAGUCCCUUAAAGGUCAUUAUUAUCCAAUGCAGUGGAGCCAAAGCCACAGAAUGCAAAAGGAAUUAAACCUGCACUGAACAGC